RNAcentral lists this transfer RNA (65 nucleotides) under Lytta caraganae. RNAcentral's name for it is "tRNA-Arg". Lineage: Eukaryota; Metazoa; Arthropoda; Insecta; Coleoptera; Meloidae. The record is from RNAcentral.
AAAUAAGAAGCAAUAAUUUUGCAUUUAGUUUCGACCUAAAAGUUUGGUUAAUUAAACCCUUAUUU